This 374-nucleotide long non-coding RNA is filed under the name Capsicum annuum. Its description in RNAcentral is "long non-coding RNA (CANN_LNC015144)". Lineage: Eukaryota; Viridiplantae; Streptophyta; Magnoliopsida; Solanales; Solanaceae. The record is from RNAcentral.
AUUUUUUUUUCAUUUUCCUUAAUUAACACCAUUAGAGAAAAAUCACAAAAAUAUCAAAUUAAUUUUUUUCUUCAUUAAACACCAUCUCAACCUUCAAUUCAACUCUUUCAACGUUUUCAACCACCAAAUUCACCCUUGAAGAUGUAAACAUAAAGAAAGAAUAGAGAAGGAACAAUGAACUUUAAAAAUAAAAGUUACAAAAAUUUCUUUCAAUUUUGUUAUUCUUCGAACUGAAUUAAUGAAGCAAUUUAAUGUCUUCAAUUUCUUCGUUGGAGAAUGUAUUAAUGGAAAAAAAUGAAAAAAAAUGGAGGAAAGUAUUGUUGGAGGGUGUGUUUGAGGUUGUUAAUGAAGGAAUUAAUUGUUGUAGAAAAUGG